GCUCGAGUGGCCAAGCGGUAAGGCGUCGCACUCGUAUUAAUGUGCAAUGCGAAGACCACCGGUUCAAAUCCGGUCUUGAGCA
This is a non-coding RNA of Trichophaea hybrida, 82 nucleotides long. The record is from the annotation of a GenBank genome assembly. Lineage: Eukaryota; Fungi; Ascomycota; Pezizomycetes; Pezizales; Pyronemataceae.